GCUUAAAAAUUGUGGUAGAGGUCUUUUCAGUGUGUUUGGAAGGUAAUAGAGGUCUUUGUUGGGUCGUAUGGGUCUGUGGGAGGGUCUAUCUUGGGUCUUGUUUAGUUAAUUGGCUUAUAAUUUGUGGUUGAGGUCUUUGUUGGGACGUAUGGGUCUGUGGGAGG
Scylla paramamosain (green mud crab) is the source of this 164-nucleotide long non-coding RNA. RefSeq lists it as uncharacterized. The transcript is spliced from 2 exons. The record is from RefSeq and is a predicted model, not a curated record. Lineage: Eukaryota; Metazoa; Arthropoda; Malacostraca; Decapoda; Portunidae.